UCAAUUCGUUUUGGAUAAAAACAAAAAUCUACUAAUACUUACCAUUUGCUAGUAUUUUCAAUAAAACUGAAUUACUUUUGCAAUAAUGAUUAUUUAAAAAAGGGUUGUUUUUUUUGUGAAUGUGAAUAUAUAUUGCUAUCGUAUAAUUCAUCAUAAAAUAUUGUGUACACUAAUAUGAAUAUGCCUUUAACUACAUAUAUACAUUGUGGUGUUUAAAAAUUAUCCUUAUUAUACAGAUUUGUAAAAUGAUAAUUGUUUUAAAAUAGGACUCGAAAGAUCACUGCACACAAUUAAACAAUAUAGUAUAAACAUGAUAAAUAUCCAAUAUUAAUUUGUUAAAAACUAACCAGGGGUUACAUUGAUUCAACGAUAAACGUGUAGACUUAAAGCGCUAUUCAUAUUCGUUUUUAUAUGGGACGUUGUUUUUUCAUAUGAAUAUAUCUAAAUAAUAAUUUCUGACUGUUUUUAUUUUUAAAAAAGCUUUGUUAAAUGAGGUAUUCAUUCACAUCAUUAUAAGGGUGUGAUGUAGAGAAAUUGACAGUAUAUUUCAACCUUAUUAUUGGCCAUACAAAGCUGGUAACUAGGGAAUACGCCUUUGACAGGCUGAUGGACAUUUAUGUAGCAAUUAUAAUUACAAAUGUGUAUAGAAAGAUAAAUACUUCGAUUUUUAUAUUGUGCAGUGGGUGUUUUUCCAAGGUAAUUUUUUUAUGUUCAAGUGACUGUGAUGAGCAGGUAUAGACAGCACAGCAACACAAAUGACUAUGAUGAAGUGAGAUCAAAGGAGAAUAAAAAGAAACCGGAAUAUGUAAUUCAACAUCCGCCAACGCGCGACGUCAGUUGUCAGACGAGAACACCUUACGUGAUACAACCGCAGCCUAAACAGAUAAAACCUUUGCGUAAUAAGCAACCUAUUGGGUAUGUAACGAAAGAAGAACCAGCUGAUAAAAAGGAUUUUCAAAGACAAGAUUAUAUACUAGUAGACUACCCACAGAAAUAUGUAAUUCAACGUCCGUCAACGCGCAACGUCCGUUGUCAGAUAAGAACACAUUACAUUAUACAACAGCCUAAACAAAGAAAACGUCCACGCAAUAAGCAAACUCAAGUCGUUCCUCAGCCUGAUCCACCUUCUCCGAGAACUCCGACUCCAUUACCCGACAACAUUGAAGUAAUAAUUUAUGACGAUGAAGGUUUUGAAUUAUUGUACCCAAAGUCACGUAACAACAGUUGUCAGUGCGUUCAUUAUAUAGAUUUGAGACAACCAGGCACAUUAGAAACAAAACCAAUUGAAAGAUUUGGACUUGAUAUCGUAUCUCAACUGAAGAAAAAAGGGUAUAUACAUGAUAAAGCCUCAUGUGAUGAUAGGUUGGAUACAAUGAACAACUCUUUGGAAAAACAUGGAACUGUGAAGAUAUUUUGUCACGAAGGAGAGCAAUUAAAAAACUCCACUUUAGCGGAAAUGCAGGAAAAGAACUUUAUAAAUCAAACCAUUGUUUAUGAUUAUAGAUAAAUGACGUACAUUUAUAUAAAGUUACAUAUCUAUGUUAUUGUUAAUAGUUUGAAGUUCAGACCUUUGCAGGACUAGCAUACUUAACAUGUUUUUUUCAUAUCAAACAUGUAUUUAAUAACAAUGUUUUUUUUUAAAUAAGGAGUGAACUCUAAGUUGGUCAUAUAUAGUUAAGGUUGUGACUUGUUUUGCUUUUAAUCCUCCCUGAUGUUUAAUUUAGGAAAAAAUGCUUUUUGUAGGUUAAAAGGGAAAAUUCUAGAUUUUUUACUUAUCAUCAAACUAUGUUCAUUAUAACAUAAAAACGACAUUUACAGAG
Mytilus californianus (California mussel) is the source of this 1820-nucleotide long non-coding RNA. RefSeq lists it as uncharacterized. Lineage: Eukaryota; Metazoa; Mollusca; Bivalvia; Mytilida; Mytilidae. The record is from RefSeq and is a predicted model, not a curated record. The transcript has 2 exons.